This 253-nucleotide ribosomal RNA is filed under the name uncultured bacterium. RNAcentral describes it as "partial 16S ribosomal RNA". It matches the Rfam family "Bacterial small subunit ribosomal RNA", at positions 524 to 776 of the family's 1533-position model. The record is from RNAcentral.
UACGGAGGAUCCAAGCGUUAUCCGGAUUUAUUGGGUUUAAAGGGUGCGUAGGCGGCUUUUUAAGUCAGAGGUGAAAGACGGUGGCUCAACCAUCGCAGUGCCUUUGAUACUGAAGAGCUUGAAUAAACUAGAGGUAGGCGGAAUGUGACAAGUAGCGGUGAAAUGCAUAGAUAUGUCACAGAACACCAAUUGCGAAGGCAGCUUACUAUGGUUUAAUUGACGCUGAGGCACGAAAGCGUGGGGAUCAAACAGG